GAAGCUGAGAUGAAUCAAAUACAAGCAAUAUCACAGGAGAAGAAAGAAGCUGACAUUAAAAAACUCCGGAAGAGCCUUAACUUUAAAGCAACACCAAUGCCUUCAUUUUAUCGCACGAAUUCGCCUUCACAAUCACAGGGCUGUGUCAAGUAACACCAGAAGUAGCAAAGCACAGAAUCAACCAAAAUGUUCAGGGAGUGAAGCAGCUGUAUCAUUACCUUCAAAAUCGAAGACCAGAAGUGAUCAAUCUUCUUGUGAAUAUGUAACAUCAACCGAACGAUAUAGUAUUUUGG
Non-coding RNA from Arachis ipaensis, 293 nucleotides. The record is from RefSeq and is a predicted model, not a curated record. NCBI's taxonomy places the organism in Eukaryota, Viridiplantae, Streptophyta, Magnoliopsida, Fabales, Fabaceae.